Molecule: ribosomal RNA, 109 nt
Filed under: Jaculus jaculus (lesser Egyptian jerboa)
Lineage: Eukaryota; Metazoa; Chordata; Mammalia; Rodentia; Dipodidae
Source: RNAcentral
GGCUAUGGCCACGCCACCCUGGCCGUGCUUGUGCUUGUCAGAUCUCAGAAGCUAAGCAGGGUCGGGCCUGGUUGGUACUUGGAUGGGAGAGAAAAAUGAAGCAUAACUU